UACGGAGGGGGCUAGCGUUGUUCGGAAUUACUGGGCGUAAAGCGCACGUAGGCGGCCUGUUAAGUCGGGGGUGAAAUCCUGGGGCUCAACCUCAGAAUUGCCUCCGAUACUGGCAGUCUCGAGUGCGGGAGAGGUGAGUGGAAUUCCCAGUGUAGAGGUGAAAUUCGUAGAUAUUGGGAGGAACACCAAUAGCGAAGGCAGCUCGCUGGGACGGUACUGACGCUAAGGCGCGAAAGCGUGGGGAGCGAACAGG
This 253-nucleotide ribosomal RNA is filed under the name uncultured bacterium. RNAcentral describes it as "partial 16S ribosomal RNA". It matches the Rfam family "Bacterial small subunit ribosomal RNA", at positions 524 to 776 of the family's 1533-position model. The record is from RNAcentral.